Molecule: ribosomal RNA, 489 nt
Filed under: uncultured bacterium
Lineage: Bacteria
Description: bacterial SSU rRNA
Rfam family: Bacterial small subunit ribosomal RNA
Source: RNAcentral
CGAGUUUGAUCAUGGCUCAGAUUGAACGCUGGCGGCAUGCUUUACACAUGCAAGUCGAGCGGCAGCGGCGGGGCAACCCUGGCGGCGAGCGGCGAACGGGUGAGUAAUGCAUCGGAACGUACCUGGAGUGGGGGAUAACGCCGCGAAAGCGGCGCUAAUACCGCAUAUGCUCUGUGGAGAAAGUGGGGGACCCUGAGGGUAACUGAGGGGCCUCACGCUCUGGGAGCGGCCGAUGUCCGAUUAGCUAGUUGGUGGGGUAAAGGCCUACCAAGGCGACGAUCCAUAGCUGGUCUGAGAGGAUGAUCAGCCACAUUGGGACUGAGACACGGCCCAAACUCCUACGGGAGGCAGCAGUGGGGAAUAUUGGACAAUGGGCGCAAGCCUGAUCCAGCCAUGCCGCGUGAAUGAUGAAGGCCCUAGGGUUGUAAAGCUCUUUCACCGGUGAAGAUAAUGACGGUAACCGGAGAAGAAGCCCCGGCUAACUUCGUG